CAGUCGCCGCGGUAAUACGAAGGGUGCAAGCGUUAAUCGGAAUUACUGGGCGUAAAGCGUGCGUAGGCGGUGAGUUAAGUCUGCUGUGAAAUCCCCGGGCUCAACCUGGGAAUGGCAGUGGAUACUGGCUCGCUAGAGUGUGUCAGAGGAUGGUGGAAUUCCCGGUGUAGCGGUGAAAUGCGUAGAGAUGUGGAGGAACACCGAUGGCGAAGGCAGCCCCCUGGGCCAAUACUGACGCUCAUGCACGAAAGCGUGGGGAGCAAACAGGAUUAGAUACCCCCGUAGUCCCUGUCUCUUAUAC
This 301-nucleotide ribosomal RNA is filed under the name uncultured bacterium. RNAcentral describes it as "partial 16S ribosomal RNA". It matches the Rfam family "Bacterial small subunit ribosomal RNA", at positions 509 to 807 of the family's 1533-position model. The record is from RNAcentral.